This is a long non-coding RNA of Hylaeus anthracinus, 1579 nucleotides long. RefSeq lists it as uncharacterized. The transcript is spliced from 2 exons. NCBI's taxonomy places the organism in Eukaryota, Metazoa, Arthropoda, Insecta, Hymenoptera, Colletidae. The record is from RefSeq and is a predicted model, not a curated record.
GGCUUCAUGGUCACAAGAGUAGAGCUUGGGGGCCCUGCUGUUUUCGGAACGCGCACCAGCGGCACGCUCGCGAACACGUGCGCGGAGCCGCCAUUCUGGUUUCAACAAGCCAACGUAAAAGGUUUUCUUUUCGAUACAACGCGAUUCUUUGUUUGUCGUUUCACCAAAUCAGCGCGAGUUUAGGAGUGCACAAGUGACCUGCGACUCUAGCCAGCGCGAAAGAAAUCGAAAUGCGAAAGAAGUGAAGACCGUCGCACCCGAUUCUGCUCAACAGGUUGGCUGAAUAUAGUAUUUACAGCGUCAGAUUCCUCAACGAGCCAGCGCACCGUACCAGAUAACUCUACAUCUAGUAAACAAUAAAUCAUCGACAGUGUUAAGGGUACUAGGCUUGAAAUAAAAACAGUACUGUCAUGUACACAGUCUGUUCCAUUUCCGAUGAGACUGGUCAAAAAUAAAAAAGAAGACGCUUCGAGUCAAUACAGCGUUUAAACCGAUCAUGAAACUUGUCGAAGCAUGUCUGGUACUCGGGAACCGGAAUAUCGUUCAGGAUGUCGGUCGAAACCUUCUGGAUGGUAGAAAUCGUACUGUAAGUGUUCCCCUUCAACGCUAAUUCGAGAUCAGGAAAUAGCCAGAAGUCGCACGGCGCUAGAUCUGGCGAGUACGGUGGGUGUUCGAGCGCUACGAUGCUUUUUUUGGCCAAAAACUCGCGUACAAUUAGGGCUUUGUGUGACGGCGCAUUAUCAUGCAACAAAAACCAACUGCGAACUUCCUUGUACUCCGGUCGAACACAUUGAAUUCUGUUCCACAAUCUCUGCAGGACACCGAAAUAAUAUUGAGCAUUCACAGUCUGACCUUGUGGAACGAAUUCCUUAUGGAUAAUGCCCUUGGAAUCGAAGAAAAUAGUAAGCAUCGCUUUGAUUGGACUCUUCUGCAUCCGCACUUUUUUCUCUUUCUGCUCAUAUGGUGACUUCCAUGUCGCGCUCUGCCUUUUGGUGAGUGGUUCGUAUUGAAAGCACCACGUUUCAUCGCCAGUUACGAUAGAUGACAUGAAUACAAGGUCCUUUUUUUUUUGGCAGAUUUCAUGUCUUUGUCAUGACUCACUCUUGUGUCUUUUUGCUCCUCCGUGAGAGAAUGUGGAACAAAUCGCGCGCAGAACUUUCUCUUAAAGUUUUUAAAAACUGAUUAAUGCAAAUUCUCGCUCUCUCCUUUUCUGCAUUCUUACCGUCGUUCUUGAUAUUUCUCCACGACUUUCUUUUUAUUUUAUUCUGAAUUUCACUAUCUAUAUUUUCACUUUUAUGCUUUCCUAUGACUCUUCUUUCGCUUUCAAUGGCUUUUUCUGAACUGGCGUGCUGCGCAAUGCCUCCCCUUCUUCCACUUUCGAAUCCUUUGUUCACUCUCCUACUUGGAGGGUUCCUUUCCGCUUCAGCCGGAGGGAUGUUAUUUCUGUUUCCGUAUUCUGUUUCCUGGGAUAUCAUUAGCUUCCUCUGCUUCCUUUCUAAAUUCCCUGGAAUUUACUAGGUUGGGGGUUUUUCCCCCCUAUGAACCCCUUCUCAGUUUCUUUUCCCGUGACCAUCAUUUU